AUCUAGCUGACGAGUUUCAAAUAGGACGAAACGCGCGUGCUGGAC
Molecule: non-coding RNA, 45 nt
Filed under: Schistosoma mansoni
Lineage: Eukaryota; Metazoa; Platyhelminthes; Trematoda; Strigeidida; Schistosomatidae
Source: RNAcentral